Perognathus longimembris pacificus (Pacific pocket mouse) is the source of this 434-nucleotide long non-coding RNA. RefSeq lists it as uncharacterized. NCBI's taxonomy places the organism in Eukaryota, Metazoa, Chordata, Mammalia, Rodentia, Heteromyidae. The transcript has 2 exons. The record is from RefSeq and is a predicted model, not a curated record.
AUACGGUAUGGUCCUAUCUUACACAUGGAAAUGAAUUCGAAAAUGCAAAGCUACCUUUUCUUCCCUGAAGUCAGCCAUAACAGGGUCCAUCGAGAAUGCAGAACCUACUUUCUUGGUGAAGUAGGGAGGUUAGGCCUGGCGGGCGUCCUAUUGGCCACAUGGUGAAAGGUCCUCUUGUCCUGGUGUUGGUGGCCACUGGUGUUGUCUCAGGGAUUUAUCUCUGAUUCAGGUCUUCUGUAGUUGAGUUCUUCCCCAAGGCUGUCACUGUCCAAGAGGAAACUGGGAAAGGAGGCAAGUACAGUGGAGCAGGUGAGGCACCUGAAGCAAGUCCAGUGAGAUGAGAUGCAAAGUAGCAGUACACAGAGACAAAGGAGACCAUGUCCGUAAAGGACAAUGAAUGGCAGAGGAAUCAAAGAUGAAGACUGAAGGUGCCA